This 371-nucleotide ribosomal RNA is filed under the name uncultured Glomeromycotina. Its description in RNAcentral is "LSU rRNA". Lineage: Eukaryota; Fungi; Glomeromycota. The record is from RNAcentral.
UUGAAAGGGAAACGAUUGAAGUCAGUCGUACCGGUGGGUAAUCAGCCUUUCGGCGUGAUUAUGUGGAGCGUGAGGAGUUAAACGCCCUCAUGCCUGCAUAUUCGUGUUCUUUGGGUGUACUUACCCGCAUGGUAGGUUAACAUCAAUUUCGAACGUCAUAAAAUGGUUGGAGGAAUGUAGCUUCGAUCUCGUAUUGAAGUGUUAUAGCCUUCGGCAGAUGUGAUGAUCGGGAUUGAGGAUUGCAACGGAUACCCCUCGGGCUACCCGUCUGAUCUCUGAAAGUUACUCUGGCGCCGAAAGCUCGCUUACGGUCAUCAAAGUUGACGUUCAACAGGUUAGAACGGGAUAAAUUCGUUAAGGAUGUUGACGUA